This is a long non-coding RNA of Pelodiscus sinensis (Chinese soft-shelled turtle), 664 nucleotides long. RefSeq lists it as uncharacterized. NCBI's taxonomy places the organism in Eukaryota, Metazoa, Chordata, Testudines, Trionychidae. The record is from RefSeq and is a predicted model, not a curated record.
CAAAGGUAUCCUGUCUUCUAGCAAUGGUCAAUGCCAAGUGUUUCUGAGGAAAUGACCAGUCCAGGUGCACUGGCUGAGCUGAAAAAGAAGACUGGAAUGGACAGCAACUAUCAAGAAACAACACUUUAAGAAAAAAAGAGAUUGAAAACUGAUUGAAAAAGUGGCCAAAUAUGAUGACAUGAAAGUCUGUAGUGGGAGCCUUUGCAUUCCUGUGUGAUAUCUACUGGUGACUGAUCUUCGCAAAUCAAACUACACAGCCACAAGAGAACACACAAGAGGCCAUUAUAUCAUUGUUUGAUGCAAAGGACAGCCAGAUAGAGCUGGCUGCAAAGGAGUAUCUCUGUGGCCACCCAGAGCUGCACUUCAUUGCAUCUUUGAAGAAGAAGACUAAGAUUUACAGUGUUUUCACCACUGCUCUGUCUGCUGAAGCAAAUCCUGCCUCCUCCUUGCACAGAUGCAGCAGAAUCACUGUUGUUUUGCAAUACUGAGAAGGCACUGCAGGAAUGUUAGAGUACAAGCAGGGGCAUGACAGGUUCUUAUUCAGAAGCUGUAAGUUUGAAAUUGAAAAUGUUCCUUACAGGGAAGACUGUAUGCAGAAAUAUUCUUGUACCAAUAUUUAGCGGUGUCGCAUUGAGCUCUCUCUCUAAGACUUCUAACUCAUACU